UGACGUCAAGUCAUCAUGGCCCUUACGGCCAGGGCUACACACGUGCUACAAUGGUCGGUACAAAGGGUUGCCAAGCCGCGAGGUGGAGCUAAUCCCAUAAAACCGAUCGUAGUCCGGAUCGCAGUCUGCAACUCGACUGCGUGAAGUCGGAAUCGCUAGUAAUCGUGAAUCAGAAUGUCACGGUGAAUACGUUCCCGGGCCUUGUACACACCGCCCGUCACACCAUGGGAGUGGGUUGCUCCAGAAGUAGCUAGUCUAACCGCAAGGGGGACGGUUACCACGGAGUGAUUCAUGACUGGGGUGAAGUCGUAACAAGGUAGCCGU
This 324-nucleotide ribosomal RNA is filed under the name uncultured bacterium. Its description in RNAcentral is "bacterial SSU rRNA". It matches the Rfam family "Bacterial small subunit ribosomal RNA", at positions 1180 to 1503 of the family's 1533-position model. The record is from RNAcentral.